GAUGAACGCUGGCGGCGUGCUUAACACAUGCAAGUCGAACGAAGCACUUUAACCUGAUUCUUCGGAUGAAGGUUUUUGUGACUGAGUGGCGGACGGGUGAGUAACGCGUGGGUAACCUGCCUCAUACGGGGGGAUAACAGUUAGAAAUGACUGCUAAUACCGCAUAAGACCACGGAGCCGCAUGGCUCAGUGGGAAAAACUCCGGUGGUAUGAGAUGGACCCGCGUCUGAUUAGGUAGUUGGUGGGGUAACGGCCUACCAAGCCAACGAUCAGUAGCCGACCUGAGAGGGUGACCGGCCACAUUGGGACUGAGACACGGCCCAAACUCCUACGGGAGGCAGCAGUGGGGAAUAUUGCACAAUGGGGGAAACCCUGAUGCAGCGACGCCGCGUGAGCGAAGAAGUAUUUCGGUAUGUAAAGCUCUAUCAGCAGGGAAGAAAAUGACGGUACCUGACUAAGAAGCACCGGCUAAAUACGUGCCAGCAGCCGCGGUAAUACGUAUGGUGCAAGCGUUAUCCGGAUUUACUGGGUGUAAAGGGAGCGUAGACGGCUGUGUAAGUCUGAAGUGAAAGCCCGGGGCUCAACCCCGGGACUGCUUUGGAAACUAUGCAGCUAGAGUGUCGGAGAGGUAAGUGGAAUUCCCAGUGUAGCGGUGAAAUGCGUAGAUAUUGGGAGGAACACCAGUGGCGAAGGCGGCUUACUGGACGAUGACUGACGUUGAGGCUCGAAAGCGUGGGGAGCCUACAAGAUUAGAUACCCUGGUAGUCCACGCCGUAAACGAUGACUACUAGGUGUCGGGGAGCAAAGCUCUUCGGUGCCGCAGCAAACGCAAUAAGUAGUCCACCUGGGGAGUACGUUCGCAAGAAUGAAACUCAAAGGAAUUGACGGGGACCCGCACAAGCGGUGGAGCAUGUGGUUUAAUUCGAAGCAACGCGAAGAACCUUACCUGCUCUUGACAUCCCGGUGACCGGCAUGUAAUGAUGCCUUUUCUUCGGAACACCGGUGACAGGUGGUGCAUGGUUGUCGUCAGCUCGUGUCGUGAGAUGUUGGGUUAAGUCCCGCAACGAGCGCAACCCUUAUCUUCAGUAGCCAGCAAUUCGGAUGGGCACUCUGGAGAGACUGCCAGGGAUAACCUGGAGGAAGGUGGGGAUGACGUCAAAUCAUCAUGCCCCUUAUGAGCAGGGCUACACACGUGCUACAAUGGCGUAAACAAAGGGAAGCGAGCCUGCGAGGGUAAGCAAAUCUCAAAAAUAACGUCUCAGUUCGGAUUGUAGUCUGCAACUCGACUACAUGAAGCUGGAAUCGCUAGUAAUCGCGAAUCAGCAUGUCGCGGUGAAUACGUUCCCGGGUCUUGCACA
This 1358-nucleotide ribosomal RNA is filed under the name uncultured bacterium. RNAcentral's name for it is "bacterial SSU rRNA". It matches the Rfam family "Bacterial small subunit ribosomal RNA", at positions 28 to 1387 of the family's 1533-position model. The record is from RNAcentral.